GACGAACGCUGGCGGCGUGCCUAAUACAUGCAAGUCGAACGAACUCUGGUAUUGAUUGGUGCUUGCAUCAUGAUUUACAUUUGAGUGAGUGGCGAACUGGUGAGUAACACGUGGGAAACCUGCCCAGAAGCGGGGGAUAACACCUGGAAACAGAUGCUAAUACCGCAUAACAGCUUGGACCGCAUGGUCCGAGUUUGAAAGAUGGCUUCGGCUAUCACUUUUGGAUGGUCCCGCGGCGUAUUAGCUAGAUGGUGGGGUAACGGCUCACCAUGGCAAUGAUACGUAGCCGACCUGAGAGGGUAAUCGGCCACAUUGGGACUGAGACACGGCCCAAACUCCUACGGGAGGCAGCAGUAGGGAAUCUUCCACAAUGGACGAAAGUCUGAUGGAGCAACGCCGCGUGAGUGAAGAAGGGUUUCGGCUCGUAAAACUCUGUUGUUAAAGAAGAACAUAUCUGAGAGUAACUGUUCAGGUAUUGACGGUAUUUAACCAGAAAGCCACGGCUAACUACGUGCCAGCAGCCGCGGUAAUACGUAGGUGGCAAGCGUUGUCCGGAUUUAUUAGGCGUAAAGCGAGCGCAGGCGGUUUUUUAAGUCUGAUGUGAAAGCCUUCGGCUCAACCGAAGAAGUGCAUCGGAAACUGGGAAACUUGAGUGCAGAAGAGGACAGUGGAACUCCAUGUGUAGCGGUGAAAUGCGUAGAUAUAUGGAAGAACACCAGUGGCGAAGGCGGCUGUCUGGUCUGUAACUGACGCUGAGGCUCGAAAGUAUGGGUAGCAAACAGGAUUAGAUACCCUGGUAGUCCAUACCGUAAACGAUGAAUGCUAAGUGUUGGAGGGUUUCCGCCCUUCAGUGCUGCAGCUAACGCAUUAAGCAUUCCGCCUGGGGAGUACGGCCGCAAGGCUGAAACUCAAAGGAAUUGACGGGGGCCCGCACAAGCGGUGGAGCAUGUGGUUUAAUUCGAAGCUACGCGAAGAACCUUACCAGGUCUUGACAUACUAUGCAAAUCUAAGAGAUUAGACGUUCCCUUCGGGGACAUGGAUACAGGUGGUGCAUGGUUGUCGUCAGCUCGUGUCGUGAGAUGUUGGGUUAAGUCCCGCAACGAGCGCAACCCUUAUUAUCAGUUGCCAGCAUUAAGUUGGGCACUCUGGUGAGACUGCCGGUGACAAACCGGAGGAAGGUGGGGAUGACGUCAAAUCAUCAUGCCCCUUAUGACCUGGGCUACACACGUGCUACAAUGGAUGGUACAACGAGUUGCGAACUCGCGAGAGUAAGCUAAUCUCUUAAAGCCAUUCUCAGUUCGGAUUGUAGGCUGCAACUCGCCUACAUGAAGUCGGAAUCGCUAGUAAUCGCGGAUCAGCAUGCCGCGGUGAAUACGUUCCCGGGCCUUGUACACACCGCCCGUCACACCAUGAGAGCUUGUAACACCCAAAGUCGGUGGGGUAACCUUGUAGGAACCAGCCGCCUAAGGUGGGACAGAUGAUUAGGGUG
Molecule: ribosomal RNA, 1489 nt
Filed under: Lactiplantibacillus plantarum
Lineage: Bacteria; Bacillati; Bacillota; Bacilli; Lactobacillales; Lactobacillaceae
Description: bacterial SSU rRNA
Rfam family: Bacterial small subunit ribosomal RNA
Source: RNAcentral